GAUGGUUGUUCUGGCCAGACCCUGUCCCUGUAGACUACACUAAAUACACUAGCAACUUCACCAUUCAAUACAAAAAUACUACUGAUGCAGACUUUAAUAGGAUUGCCAACUACACCAUCAGCUCGACCGCCCCAUUAGCCUUGACCAUAACCGGCCCUCCUAAAGACUUGUUCAGCGUGGGCAAAGACUACGAUCAGGUGAAGCUUUUCUUAUCGGACAUCACUGAUAACUACGCGGUCUUCCAGCGAUGCAUGGAUGACACCAUAAUUGGAC
Hyalella azteca is the source of this 273-nucleotide long non-coding RNA. RefSeq lists it as uncharacterized. The transcript has 3 exons. Lineage: Eukaryota; Metazoa; Arthropoda; Malacostraca; Amphipoda; Hyalellidae. The record is from RefSeq and is a predicted model, not a curated record.